UACGGGGGGGGCAAGCGUUGUUCGGAAUUACUGGGCGUAAAGGGCGCGUAGGUGGCGCGACAAGUCAGUGGUGAAAGCUCGACGCUCAACGUCGAGUCGGCCACUGAUACUGUUGGGCUUGAGCACUGUAGAGGCUAAUGGAAUUCCGGGUGUAGCGGUGGAAUGCGUAGAGAUCCGGAAGAACACCGGUGGCGAAGGCGGUUAGCUGGGCAGUUGCUGACACUGAGGCGCGACAGCGUGGGGAGCAAACAGG
Molecule: ribosomal RNA, 253 nt
Filed under: uncultured bacterium
Lineage: Bacteria
Description: partial 16S ribosomal RNA
Rfam family: Bacterial small subunit ribosomal RNA
Source: RNAcentral